GCCAGACUCCUACGGGAGGCAGCAGUGGGGGAUAUUGCACAAUGGGGGGAACCCUGAUGCAGCGACGCCGCGUGGGUGAAGGAGCGUUUCGGCGCGUAAAGCCCUAUCGGCAGGGAAGAAGGAGGACGGUACCUGACUAAGAAGCCCCGGCUAACUACGUGCCAGCAGCCGCGGUAAUACGUAGGGGGCAAGCGUUAUCCGGAUUUACUGGGUGUAAAGGGGGCGCAGACGGCAGCGCAAGCCAGGAGUGAAAGCCCGGGGCCCAACCCCGGGACUGCUCUUGGAACUGCGCGGCUGGAGUGCAGGAGGGGCAGGCGGAAUUCCUGGUGUAGCGGUGAAAUGCGUAGAUAUCAGGAGGAACACCGGUGGCGAAGGCGGCCUGCUGGACGACAACUGACGGUGAGGCGCGAAAGCGUGGGGAGCAAACAGGAUUAGAUACCCCAGUAC
This 447-nucleotide ribosomal RNA is filed under the name uncultured bacterium. Its description in RNAcentral is "partial 16S ribosomal RNA". It matches the Rfam family "Bacterial small subunit ribosomal RNA", at positions 330 to 793 of the family's 1533-position model. The record is from RNAcentral.